UCAAGUUAUAAAAAACGCCUAUUAAAUUGGUGAGAUUAAAUUAUUUUUGAGCAAUGAUAUCAGUAUGUAUUCCUUGACAAGAUUUAACCCUUGUAUACCAGGAAUUAUGUGUUUUACUGAACAGAAUAUGAAGUGUAUGAUCUAAGCUGUCAGUCUCUCUUAUUUGUGGUGAUGCUGUGAUAAAUGAAUUCCUGUUUUUUUCUCUUUCAAAUCUAUAGUUUAAAUCCUAGUAUGCCUAAUAAGGCCCUUAAUUAUAUGCUAAUAAUAAUUUUGUAUACAGCCUUAAACACAGAGCAAAAGCCCACACUUUAUACUUAAGCUUUGAAUCAUUCCACAGUGACAAGUGUAAAAAAAUGCAAAUAUGCAAGCAGCCUCAUUUAUAUGCACAAUUUAAAACAAAAUCAAAAGUAAAUACUGAUACAAUGACAACCCCUUAUAUUGGCUUAUGGACACAAUAUGUCCAGAUUGGGAACAGGCACAGGCGUUAAUGGAAGGGGUAAAAAAAAUGAGUGCCAAACCCUACCUUAAACUGAAACUGUACAAGUGGUGUUAUGACAGUAGGUAAAAUUAGUUGAAAAAGGCUCAGAUCAAUGCACUUCAACAAUAAACAAAACAAUGAAUAAUACUCAAAGUUAUGAUCUUAUAGUAAUAUCCAUUUUUGUCGAGCCUGCAUUUUUGUUCCAUAUCUCAGAUACUAUAAGCAAUAGGUCUAGUACAUUCAGUGUAUGUAAGGACUGUAAGGUGUACAUGUCCAACUGGCAGGUGUCAUCUAACUUUGACCUCAUUUUUGUGUUUGUGUUUUGGUCUUUUUCUUUAACUAUUAACAAUAGGUCAACUAUGUUUGUUGUAUGGAUGAAUUGUUAGCUGUACAUGUCUGCUGGCAUUGUUUAAUCU
Molecule: long non-coding RNA, 894 nt
Filed under: Mytilus galloprovincialis (Mediterranean mussel)
Lineage: Eukaryota; Metazoa; Mollusca; Bivalvia; Mytilida; Mytilidae
Source: RNAcentral